UACGAAGGGUGCAAGCGUUACUCGGAAUUACUGGGCGUAAAGGGUGCGUAGGUGGUCGUUUAAGUCCGUUGUGAAAUCCCUGGGCUCAACCUGGGAAUGGCAGUGGAUACUGGACGGCUAGAAUGCGGUAGAGGGUAGUGGAAUUCCUGGUGUAGCGGUGAAAUGCGCAGAUAUCAGGAGGAACACCAAUGGCGAAGGCAGCUCGCUGGGACGGUACUGACGCUGAGACGCGAAAGCUAGGGGAGCAAACGGG
This 253-nucleotide ribosomal RNA is filed under the name uncultured bacterium. RNAcentral's name for it is "partial 16S ribosomal RNA". It matches the Rfam family "Bacterial small subunit ribosomal RNA", at positions 524 to 776 of the family's 1533-position model. The record is from RNAcentral.